This 254-nucleotide ribosomal RNA is filed under the name uncultured bacterium. RNAcentral's name for it is "partial 16S ribosomal RNA". It matches the Rfam family "Bacterial small subunit ribosomal RNA", at positions 524 to 776 of the family's 1533-position model. The record is from RNAcentral.
UACGGAGGGUGCGAGCGUUGUCCGGAAUCAUUGGGCGUAAAGGGCGCGUAGGUGGCCCGGUCAGUUCGUGGUGAAAGCGCGGGGCUCAACCCUGCGUCGGCCAUGAAUACUGCCGCGGCUGGAGCACUGUAGAGGCAGGCGGAAUUCCGGGUGUAGCGGUGGAAUGCGUAGAGAUCCGGAAGAACACCGGUGGCGAAGGCGGCCUGCUGGGCAGUUGCUGACACUGAGGCACGAAAGCGUGGGGAGCAAACAGG